This 266-nucleotide long non-coding RNA is filed under the name Carica papaya (papaya). RNAcentral's name for it is "long non-coding RNA (CPAP_LNC016116)". Lineage: Eukaryota; Viridiplantae; Streptophyta; Magnoliopsida; Brassicales; Caricaceae. The record is from RNAcentral.
GGAUCUAAAUGAUGAUCUUCUUGCAGAGGUUGAUGAAGAACUUUAGCAUGUUUAUCAUGAUGAACGAAUUCACUAUAACGUUAGGUAUAGUAUUGAGGAAACAAGGAGGGGGGAAGCUAUUAGAGAUCAUAUAGCAGCUGAUAUGUGGGCCACUUAUAAUACUUGAUUACAUUUUGGACUAAUGUGUUGAUUAUGACAUUUGUAUGGUUUAUGACUUGUGAUAUAUUUUAAAGUUUUAAUUGAACAAUAUAAUUUAGAAUUUGUAU